RNA transcript from Panicum hallii, 1895 nucleotides. It is a transcript of the gene named argininosuccinate lyase, chloroplastic-like, with no coding region annotated. The transcript is spliced from 7 exons. Lineage: Eukaryota; Viridiplantae; Streptophyta; Magnoliopsida; Poales; Poaceae. The record is from RefSeq and is a predicted model, not a curated record.
GGGGUACUGCCAAGCGUCCAGGAGACCGGGACCCGCCCGCCUCGCAGAAGCCUCCCUCCCUGAUAAAUGGCGGCGCGCCGACCAGAUCCGCCCGCCGUCCACGCCGCCUGCUGCCUCCCUUCGCCGUGGUUCUCCUGCUCGCUUCGUCUGACUGAUCAAUCGCGUUUGCUAGCUACUACUCCGUAGUACGCUAGGAGGUGAGGCGCCUCGUCUAGUUCCCCCUCCGCCUCCGCCUCCGUCGUUACAUGGAGAGCCCCAGCGAUUGGUGUGUCGAAUUCCGCGUGCGCCGUCUCUCUCGAUUUGAAAGCGUUCUUUUUUUGCCCCCUUCCUCCUGGUAAUGCAGUGCCUGAGUUGUUUCCCUUCCGCCGUCGGGGAGAGGAUGGGAUCCUCGAUGGCGCCGGCGCCGGUGAAGGGGUCCCUGCAAGGGCCUGCUGCUGGGUGCCCGACGACCUUCCUCUCUGCACGGAAGCCACGGAGCGCCAGCUUCGUCCGCUUUCCGCGCAACCAUCCUCUGCAGCAGCAGCAGCAUGGCGGCGUCUUCCCGUCUCUAGCCUGGAGCGCAGGCGGCGACCGAUCGGGCAGGAGGCUCAAAGCCCAGGAGCCGGACCAGGUGCUGCGAAGUUGCAGGCCGUUGUUCAGUGAUGAAGAAUUUGCUGAUCCUCAGGCACCAACUUCUUAUGUCAACGUCCUUAACACGUUGAGGCUACGUCAUCCAUCGUCACGGGAGAAGAAGUUAAUGCGUGAAGAGGAUGAGCGAUGUAAAAUGGCUCUUCAGCAAUGUGCUAGAAGUUUUGUGGAUGGAAUCAUACAGUUGGUUUCAUCAAAGAAGGAAUACUACAAGUUUAUUAUAAUCGCCUGCAAAGAAAACACCAAUAAGAUCAUGGAACUGGGUUUCAUAUCUUGUAAAAACCGAGAUGACAUUCUAAAUGGUCUUGAAAGAAUAGAAGAUGAUAUUGCAAAAGGAAGGUUUAUGUGGAGAGAAAAUAAAGAUGUACGAAGUAAUAUUGUUGAAGCACUAGUUGAAAGAGUUGGAGGACCAGCAAGAAAUCUCGACGCAACAAUAAGUCAAUGUGCUCAAAAGCUAACAAUCCUCCGAUUAUGGUUCCAUGACUCUGCAGAUACAAUUGUUACUCAAAUAGAACAGCUUCAGAUGGGUAGAAUAGUUGGGUGGCCUAUCGAGUGUCCUCAAGGGCAACCUUUUGCCAUGUUACAAACAAGCAGGUUGAGCUUGUUUUGCUAGCACUAAGAAAUUGGGGAUUUGUUGUGCCUCUCCUUGCUCGACGUACUGACUGGAUUCUACUUGGCGAAUUGAUAUUGUCAAAAGUUGAGCUGGUCCAUUAGCACGAGAAUGACCAACAUGGCGAUCAGUGAAACAGCUAGACACACAACAAUGUUUGUGUUCAGGAGUGAGCGUAUCUGGUCAAGAGCAAAGCAUCUACGUAAGCUAACCCGUCGCUCUGUUCUUGACCUCCAUGGUUACCUUCUCCAAGACCUCGAUGACCCUCACCGUGUCACUUAACCCAAUAGAGGUCAUGUAGUCGUAGAGACCCACGUCUUGCUCAAACAGUGUAAUGCGCCUGUGGUUGAGUUCCAGUCGCAGCUGAGUCCACUGCUCAUCGGGUGCUUGUAGGCAUACCUCCUCAUACACAUCCAUUGAUAUAACACAGGCAUGCUCUAUUGCCAGAGCAUGCGCUUCCAGCAUGCGGUAUCUGAUGCUGCUCUGAGGCCAACAGCUCAAAGGAGUAUAUGCAUAUGUACAUCGAUUAGUAGCUAUUUCUAGUCUCAAGAGAAACGACACAGUUAUUUGUAAAAUAUUAUUGGGUUCAGUGUCCUCUGUACCUUCUAAAUUUUGUAGACUCCGUAAUGGUACUGCAUUCGGAGACCACCUUCAUCAA